Molecule: ribosomal RNA, 301 nt
Filed under: uncultured bacterium
Lineage: Bacteria
Description: partial 16S ribosomal RNA
Rfam family: Bacterial small subunit ribosomal RNA
Source: RNAcentral
CAGAGCCGCGGUAAUACGAAGGGGGCUAGCGUUGCUCGGAAUGACUGGGCGUAAAGGGCGCGUAGGCGGAUUGUUUAGUUAGGCGUGAAAUUCCUGGGCUUAACCUGGGGACUGCGCUUAAUACAGGCAGUCUAGAGUGAGGAAGAGGGUUGUGGAAUUCCCAGUGUAGAGGUGAAAUUCGUAGAUAUUGGGAAGAACACCGGUGGCGAAGGCGGCGACCUGGUCCUUUACUGACGCUGAUGCACGAAAGCUAGGGGAGCAAACAGGAUUAGAUACCCGGGUAGUCCCUGUCUCUUAUACA